UACGUAGGGGGCUAGCGUUGUCCGGAAUCAUUGGGCGUAAAGCGCGUGUAGGCGGCCCGGUAAGUCCGCUGUGAAAGUCGGGGGCUCAACCCUCGAAUGCCGGUGGAUACUGCCGGACUAGAGUCCGGAAGAGGCGAGUGGAAUUCCCGGUGUAGCGGUGAAAUGCGCAGAUAUCGGGAGGAACACCAAUGGCGAAGGCAACUCGCUGGGACGGUACUGACGCUGAGACGCGAAAGCGUGGGGAGCAAACAGG
This 253-nucleotide ribosomal RNA is filed under the name uncultured bacterium. RNAcentral describes it as "partial 16S ribosomal RNA". It matches the Rfam family "Bacterial small subunit ribosomal RNA", at positions 524 to 776 of the family's 1533-position model. The record is from RNAcentral.